UACGAAGGGGGCUAGCGUUGCUCGGAAUCACUGGGCGUAAAGGGUGCGUAGGCGGGUCUUUAAGUCAGGGGUGAAAUCCUGGAGCUCAACUCCAGAACUGCCUUUGAUACUGAAGAUCUUGAGUUCGGGAGAGGUGAGUGGAACUGCGAGUGUAGAGGUGAAAUGCGUAGAUAUCGAGAGGAACACCUGCGGCGAAGGCGGGUUGCUGGGCUGAUACUGACGCUGAUGCGCGAAAGCCAGGGUAGCAAACGGG
This 253-nucleotide ribosomal RNA is filed under the name uncultured bacterium. RNAcentral's name for it is "partial 16S ribosomal RNA". It matches the Rfam family "Bacterial small subunit ribosomal RNA", at positions 524 to 776 of the family's 1533-position model. The record is from RNAcentral.